Molecule: ribosomal RNA, 301 nt
Filed under: uncultured bacterium
Lineage: Bacteria
Description: partial 16S ribosomal RNA
Rfam family: Bacterial small subunit ribosomal RNA
Source: RNAcentral
CAGUCGCCGCGGGAAUACGUAGGGUGCGAGCGUUAGUCGGAAUUACUGGGCGUAAAGCAUGCGCAGGCGGUUGUGUAAGACAGGUGUGAAAUCCCCGGGCUUAACCUGGGAACUGCGCUUGUGACUGCACAGCUAGAGUAUGGCAGAGGGGGGUGGAAUUCCACGUGUAGCAGUGAAAUGCGUAGAGAUGUGGAGGAACACCGAUGGCGAAGGCAGCCCCCUGGGCCAAUACUGACGCUCAUGCACGAAAGCGUGGGGAGCAAACAGGAUUAGAUACCCGAGUAGUCCCUGUCUCUUAUAA